GCUGUCUAGGGAUGGGAGCUGAGUUUGUAAUGCUCCUGAUUUACUAGAAACAAGGGCUAUAUGGAGAAGCUGGAAGGAUCAUGUACUCAUGAUACAGCUUGGAAAACAGUGGACACUCAGAAGUGUAAGAAUUAAAGGUUAGUUCUCAGGUUGCUUAUAGCCUGGGAGGAGCUUCUGCUGAGUGCGGGGAGAGGCAAAAAGGUAGGAUGGCAGAAACUGCUUCCAGCUGGUGUUUGUUUAACAAAGCUUUAGAGGUGAAGGCAGAAGGAAGCCUGGGAGAUGUUUGGGUUUUGUUCAUGCUGGAGAACUGAAGAUUACCGUGUUUAUAUCAUUUGACUAAAAUUAACAUUGACGUUACCAUACGGGCUGGCCCCUUUCCUGCCCCAUCUGUUCUCUCUGGAAGUGUGCCCUUGGCAGUUGGACCUGCUGCAUUAAGUGGGCCUGAGGAGGCAGCCCUGCCCAGGUCGUGCUGGGAUAGCUUCUCCCCCACCAGUCUCUCUUGCUUGCAUGAAGAGGAAGCCUGUAUUGCCUGUAAAGACCAGCUUCAACCACAUACCAAAGGAGAAGUGGAGUUUAUGCUGAGGCCAGCUGCUGGCCGGGAUACCCGUGCUUGAGAGAGAUCUGCAAGAGUUUCUGGAGGGUCCUGAUAACAUGUGAGAGAAUGGUGGCUGACGUUUAAAUGCAGGUUGAACUAAACUGCAGUCUGCUUCAUAGAUGAAGGUCAACCAGCCAUGCCUUAGUCAACUGUGCCUCAUUGAGUUGCUCUGCCUUAUACAGCUGGACUGACCGAGUUUUCUUGAUGCCUGUAACUCACUUCUUCUUCUGCAUAAUUUUGACGUGCAGCCUCCCCUGUGCCCUGAGAGACCCUGGCGCUACCUGCCUACCCCUGCAGCUGCCUAGUGCCAAGCAACUGUCACCACCCCUGAUUUCUCCUGUUCUCUCUGGGUUUGGUACGAUGUCUGCCUGA
Molecule: long non-coding RNA, 967 nt
Filed under: Anser brachyrhynchus (Pink-footed goose)
Lineage: Eukaryota; Metazoa; Chordata; Aves; Anseriformes; Anatidae
Description: lncRNA (ENSABRG00000012014.1)
Source: RNAcentral